This 107-nucleotide small nuclear RNA is filed under the name Myotis davidii. Lineage: Eukaryota; Metazoa; Chordata; Mammalia; Chiroptera; Vespertilionidae. The record is from RNAcentral.
GUGCUUGCUUUGGCAGCACACAUACUAAAAGUGGAACCAUACCGAGAAGAUGAACGUGGCCCCUGUGCAAGGAUGACCUGCAAAUUCGUGAAGCGUUCCAGUAAAGA